RNAcentral lists this ribosomal RNA (342 nucleotides) under uncultured Flavobacteriaceae bacterium. RNAcentral describes it as "bacterial LSU rRNA". It matches the Rfam family "Bacterial large subunit ribosomal RNA", at positions 1 to 359 of the family's 2925-position model. The record is from RNAcentral. Lineage: Bacteria; Pseudomonadati; Bacteroidota; Flavobacteriia; Flavobacteriales; Flavobacteriaceae.
AAUAGGCUAAUUAAGAGCGUAAGGGGAAUGCCUUGGCUCUCAGAGGCGAUGAAGGACGUGAUAAGCUGCGAUAAGCUGUGGGGAGUGGCACAAACACUUUGAUCCGCAGAUUUCCGAAUGGGGUAACCCGGCAUAUUGAAGAUAUGUCACACUGUAAAGUGAGCGAACCUGGUGAACUGAAACAUCUAAGUAACCAGAGGAAUAGAAAACAAAAGUGAUUCCGCUAGUAGUGGCGAGCGAACGUGGAACAGCCUAAACCUAUGUUGUUAAGCAAUAUAGGGGUUGUAGGACCUCAACAUUUAAUGCUAAUAGAACUAGAAUUUACUGGAAAGUAAAACCAUA